Molecule: ribosomal RNA, 574 nt
Filed under: Klebsiella aerogenes
Lineage: Bacteria; Pseudomonadati; Pseudomonadota; Gammaproteobacteria; Enterobacterales; Enterobacteriaceae
Description: partial 23S ribosomal RNA
Rfam family: Bacterial large subunit ribosomal RNA
Source: RNAcentral
UAUAAUGGGUCAGCGACUUAUAUUCUGUAGCAAGGUUAACCGUAUAGGGGAGCCGCAGGGAAACCGAGUCUUAACUGGGCGUUAAGUUGCAGGGUAUAGACCCGAAACCCGGUGAUCUAGCCAUGGGCAGGUUGAAGGUUGGGUAACACUAACUGGAGGACCGAACCGACUAAUGUUGAAAAAUUAGCGGAUGACUUGUGGCUGGGGGUGAAAGGCCAAUCAAACCGGGAGAUAGCUGGUUCUCCCCGAAAGCUAUUUAGGUAGCGCCUCGUGAAUUCAUCUUCGGGGGUAGAGCACUGUUUCGGCUAGGGGGUCAUCCCGACUUACCAACCCGAUGCAAACUACGAAUACCGAAGAAUGUUAUCACGGGAGACACACGGCGGGUGCUAACGUCCGUCGUGAAGAGGGAAACAACCCAGACCGCCAGCUAAGGUCCCAAAGUCACAGUUAAGUGGGAAACGAUGUGGGAAGGCACAGACAGCCAGGAUGUUGGCUUAGAAGCAGCCAUCAUUUAAAGAAAGCGUAAUAGCUCACUGGUCGAGUCGGCCUGCGCGGAAGAUGUAACGGGGCUAAA